UCCUUUCUUUAUCCUUUGGUGUGGGUCAA
Molecule: non-coding RNA, 29 nt
Filed under: Mus musculus (house mouse)
Lineage: Eukaryota; Metazoa; Chordata; Mammalia; Rodentia; Muridae
Source: RNAcentral